CAGCUAGUUGGCGGGGUAAUGGCCCACCAAGGCGAAGAUCGGUAGCCGGCCUGAGAGGGCACACGGCCACACUGGCACUGAAACACGGGCCAGACUCCUACGGGAGGCAGCAGUGGGGAAUCUUGCACAAUGGAGGAAACUCUGAUGCAGCGACGCCGCGUGAGCGAUGAAGCCCUUCGGGGUGUAAAGCUCUUUCGACGGGAACGAUAAUGACGGUACCCGAAGAAGAAGCUGCGGCUAACUACGUGCCAGCAGCCGCGGUAAUACGUAGGCAGCAAGCGUUGUUCGGAAUUACUGGGCGUAAAGAGUGUGUAGGCGGUGCUCUAAGUUCGGUGUGAAAUCUCCCGGCUUAACUGGGAGGGUGCGCCGGAAACUGGAGUGCUCGAGCGUGGGAGAGGAAAGCGGAAUUCCUGGUGUAGCGGUGAAAUGCGUAGAUAUCAGGAGGAACACCUGCGGUGUAGACGGCUUUCUGGACCAUUGCUGACGCUGAGACACGAAAGCGUGGGUAGCAAACAGGAUUAGAUACCCUGGU
This 532-nucleotide ribosomal RNA is filed under the name uncultured Acidobacteriota bacterium. RNAcentral's name for it is "SSU rRNA". It matches the Rfam family "Bacterial small subunit ribosomal RNA", at positions 242 to 791 of the family's 1533-position model. Lineage: Bacteria; Pseudomonadati; Acidobacteriota. The record is from RNAcentral.